RNAcentral lists this ribosomal RNA (491 nucleotides) under uncultured bacterium. RNAcentral's name for it is "partial 16S ribosomal RNA". It matches the Rfam family "Bacterial small subunit ribosomal RNA", at positions 29 to 507 of the family's 1533-position model. The record is from RNAcentral.
AGUGAACGCUGGCGGUAGGCCUAACACAUGCCAGUCGAACGGCAGCACAGUAAGAGCUUGCUCUUACGGGUGGCGAGUGGCGGACGGGUGAGGAAUACAUCGGAAUCUACUUUUUCGUGGGGGAUAACGUGGGAAACUUACGCUAAUACCGCAUACGACCUACGGGUGAAAGCAGGGGAUCUUCGGACCUUGCGCGAUUGAAUGAGCCGAUGUCGGAUUAGCUAGUUGGCGGGGUAAAGGCCCACCAAGGCGACGAUCCGUAGCUGGUCUGAGAGGAUGAUCAGCCACACUGGAACUGAGACACGGUCCAGACUCCUACGGGAGGCAGCAGUGGGGAAUAUUGGACAAUGGGCGCAAGCCUGAUCCAGCCAUACCGCGUGGGUGAAGAAGGCCUUCGGGUUGUAAAGCCCUUUUGUUGGGAAAGAAAAGCAGCAGGUUAAUACCCCGCUGUUCUGACGGUACCCAAAGAAUAAGCACCGGCUAACUUCGUG